Equus caballus (horse) is the source of this 1769-nucleotide long non-coding RNA. The record is from Ensembl. Lineage: Eukaryota; Metazoa; Chordata; Mammalia; Perissodactyla; Equidae.
CGCAAGGACAGUCCAGCUUCCCAGCCUGCCCCGACUUCCUAAGCACUGCUACGGCGUCAGGAAGGUCAGAGAACUGACGCAAAGACGUCCUCUCCAGCACCGUCUUGAUCACUGGAAAGCGUUCUGACCUUGGGAAGAGGGGGUCGUCCACCCUCACAGCCCCCGCAUUCGGCUUUUCCUAGGGGUAAACCCGCUGCAGAGAGAGGCACAAAGGGCCUGUGCUGCCACAGACGCUUAUGCUCCCCCAGGGCAAUGGAGAAAUAAACGAGGCAUUUGCAUUUCACAACAGAUGAGGCUGGGACCAAAUGGAAACUCCACGGGCACUGCGGACCCCUCUUCCACCAGAGGAGCUGCAGCCUGAGACCAGCACCUGGCUCACUGCCAGCUCGGCCACCUCCUGGUCCAGGGGCUCUGGGCCAGUUACUUAAACUCUGCACCUCAGUUUCCCCGUCAGUAAAACUAGGUGAUUAACAACACUCGCUUGGCAGGGCUGCCAGUAGAAUUAGAAACACUGCAUUGAGCUUUCAAUGUGUGGCUGGCAUUGUAUAAACGAACAGCCCACAUGAGACAGAAGCACCCCUGCCUGGAGAAGCUACCCCGCCAUGCCCACCGCACCCAAACCAACAACACAGAAGGAAAGGAUCUCAGAAACACAGGGGAAGAGUCCAGGAGGAAUCUGGAAACCCUUUGUGGACAAGUUGACACUGAAGCCGGGCCUUAAAGUUGGGAUUCUGCAGUCAGAGAUGGUGGAAGGAGACAGAAUUUUCCAGGCAGAGGGAUGGCGUGAGCCAGGGCCUAGAGGCUGGGAAGGGAGCACAUUUGGGGAAUCAUGGUUUGGUGCAGGGUGCCAGCCCUGAACAGAUGCACUGGGACACACAGAGGUGUCCUGAGCAGGGCGAGACCUGCGUCCAAGGAGCUGGUUUGAGAAUGGGUUUGGCUACUUACUGGGAGAGCUUGGGUGAGUUAUUUAACAUCUGGCCUUCCGAGUCCUCAGAUGCGAAAUGGGCAACACAACACUCAUGCUCACGUGGUCAUUCCACAGCCUGAAUGCUUAGGCAUGCUUAAGAAGCACUGUGUAAACUGGGGAGCAUGAUGCAAACACUAGCAGUCUCUCCUGUGGGCCCUCCUGGAGUCCGAGGAAGGCAGGCCCGGUGGCCUUCUGGACGGGUGUCCGCCGCAACAUCGGGGAGAGGAGUGAAUCUCUGGGCCUCAUGCAGGCUGUGGGCAUUUCCUGCUGCUGCUGGGACCUCUCAUUCACUGCUGUCUCCCCAAACUCUGGGGCUGGCCCACAAGGCAGAGCCGUGGGAGCACACCAUGUGAACUCUGGACUUCCAGGCGGGUGUAGACGUCUACUGAGACCAGUACACACUUACGUAGAAGACAGCACAACACUGGAGAAACUCGGGUCAAGUGCUCUCCAGACAAAUGGAUUUCAAAUUUGGUUUCUCCUCAUCCUUGGAACAUAUUUAUUAAAAAAAAAACGUUUUGGGGCCGGCCCUGUGGCUGAGUGGUUAAGUUCGCACGCUCUGCUGCGGCGGCCCAGGAUUUCUAUGGUUCAGAUCCUGGGAGUGGACAUGGCACCGCUCAUCAGGCCAUGCUGAGGCAACGUCCCACAUGCCACAACUAGAAGGACCCACAACUAAAACAUACAACUACAUCCUGCGGGGUUUAGGGGAGAAAAAGCAAAAAAAAAAGAAGGAGAUUGGCAACAGUUGUUAGCUCAGGUGCCAAUAAAAAAAAAGUUUCUAGCAAAAAAUAUUACUCAGGAG